This 969-nucleotide unclassified non-coding RNA is filed under the name Hevea brasiliensis (rubber tree). Lineage: Eukaryota; Viridiplantae; Streptophyta; Magnoliopsida; Malpighiales; Euphorbiaceae. The record is from RNAcentral.
GGCUUUCGCCUGGUUUGGGAUCCCAUCCAAGUUUUUCUGCUGCAUAUUGGAAAAUGUUCGUGAAAAAUUGCCUGAGGUUGUCCAGUAACUCAGGAACUGCAUCAGCUGCAAUUCUUUCGAGUUUGUAGCUUAUACUGAUCAAAUUCGAUAAUACAGUGUAGUCAAGUUCCUCUCUAUAAGCACCCAUCAAGGUAAGCAAAGAGGUAACUGAUUGCUGGCAAGCCAUAGAAAGGGCAAAUGCAUCAUCCAAAAUACCAAAUCUGUCCGUUGCAGUCAAAUGAUUUUUCUCUAUUGCAUUCCUAAGCUUAGCUGCAAGAUCUUCAUCAUACUUCACCCGGUAAAAGCCAGUCUGAUCAACAUUAAGCUUUAUCCAAUCACAACAUUUAUCAUUUCCACCAGAGCAUUUGCUGAUGGAGCAACCAAGGAACUCCUUGAUGUCUACAGAUUCGGUCUUUGUUUGCAGCAGAAAGUUUUUCCGCACAUCAUAAGAACCACAACACAAUGUUAUGGGAACAAUCCAUUGCCCCUCUCCACAGGAACCACUCAACAAAAAUCUUGACUGUUCAAACACCAAUUUCUCAUCUUUCACUUUGACAGUGACAACAGGAUAUCCUUGUUGCUUGGUCCAGGAACUCAUUAAGUUGUUCACAGGUUCACCAGAUCCCUCCUCUAGAGCAGCCCACAAGUCUUCAGUCUUUGUAUUGGAACAACUGUGCUUUUUUAUGUAUGAAGCAAGUGAUUUCUGAAAACACUCAGCACCGAGAUAGCUUUGUAACAUUCGAAUAACAGAUGCACCUUUUCUGUAGCUAAUUGCAUCAAAUAUUUCAUCAACCUCACUGGCAUGAUUUAUCUCAACCUCAAUUGGAUGUGAUUCAGCAAGCCCAUCCAAAGUAAGACCAUGGUUUGAUUCUUCAAGAAAUUGAUUCCAUACUUUCCACUCUGGAAACAAGCUAUCAGUAGCUAAAUAAC